Molecule: ribosomal RNA, 302 nt
Filed under: uncultured bacterium
Lineage: Bacteria
Description: partial 16S ribosomal RNA
Rfam family: Bacterial small subunit ribosomal RNA
Source: RNAcentral
GCAGUCGCCGCGGUAAUACGUAGGGUGCAAGCGUUAAUCGGAAUUACUGGGCGUAAAGCGUGCGCAGGCGGUUAUAUAAGACAGAUGUGAAAUCCCCGGGCUCAACCUGGGAACUGCAUUUGUGACUGUAUAGCUAGAGUACGGCAGAGGGGGAUGGAAUUCCGCGUGUAGCAGUGAAAUGCGUAGAUAUGCGGAGGAACACCGAUGGCGAAGGCAAUCCCCUGGGCCUGUACUGACGCUCAUGCACGAAAGCGUGGGGAGCAAACAGGAUUAGAUACCCCUGUAGUCCCUGUCUCUUAUAC